GACGAACGCUGGCGGCGUGCUUAACACAUGCAAGUCGAACGGGCCUGUCUUCUUUUUUGGGGGUGGGUUGAGUGGCGAACGGGUGAGUAUCACGUGAGUAACCUGCCCUUCGGUCCUGGAUAACCGCUUGAAAGGGCGGCUAAUACGGGGUGGUCCGGUUGGUCCGCAUGGGCUGGUCGGGAUAGAUUCACUGUUUUUGGUGUUUCGGCGGGGGAUGGGCUCGCGGCCUAUCAGCUUGUUGGUGGGGUGAUGGCCUACCAAGGCGGUGACGGGUAGCCGGCCUGAGGGGGUGGGCGGCCACACUGGGACUGGGAUACGGCCCAGACUCCUGCGGGAGGCAGCAGUGGGGGGUAUUGCACAAGGGGCGGAAGCCUGAUGCAGCGACGUCGCGUGAGGGAUGGAGGCCUUCGGGUUGUGAACCUCUGUUUCCGGUGGUGAAGGCCCUGUCCGUGUGGUGGGGUUGACGGUAGCCGGGGAUGAAGCGCCGGCUAACUACGUG
Molecule: ribosomal RNA, 499 nt
Filed under: uncultured bacterium
Lineage: Bacteria
Description: partial 16S ribosomal RNA
Rfam family: Bacterial small subunit ribosomal RNA
Source: RNAcentral